Molecule: ribosomal RNA, 216 nt
Filed under: uncultured bacterium
Lineage: Bacteria
Description: partial 16S ribosomal RNA
Rfam family: Bacterial small subunit ribosomal RNA
Source: RNAcentral
UACUCAGUUCGGAUUGAAGGCUGAAAUUCGCCUUCAUGAAGCUGGAAUUGCUAGUAAUGGCAGGUCAGCAUACUGCCGUGAAUACGUUCCCGGGCCUUGUACACACCGCCCGUCACACCAUGAGAGUUGGGAAUACCCGAAGCCUGUGAGCUAACUGUAAGGAGGCAGCAGUCGAAGGUAGAAUCAAUGAUUGGGGUGAAGUCGUAACAAGGUACC